UAGGAUUUUAAAAUUGUGUUUUGUCAGAGUUUAGAUCAUGUAAACUUAUAGCUAAAAAGGAUCAUGGAAUUUAUUAAUAAUAAUAGCUAGCAUUUACAUUAGAACUUUAAGUUUGCAAAGUGUCUUCAUACAUACACUAAUUUGAUCCUCACAACAACGCUGUGAGUUGGCUGUUAUUUUUUUACAUUUUAUUGUAUGAGGAAACAUUCUGAGAGAAAUUAAACCCAGAAUCUCAUUGCUAAGAAGUAUCUGGGGUGGCAGGAAGGUAUCCUUUGGGAUUAUCUAGUCCCAAGCCCAGGACAUUUUUCCUACAAGGAAACUAAAAAAGACCACACAGGUAAUAAGUAGAGCUAAUAUUUAAAUUCAGUUUCUGAGUCUAAAACCAAGACUUUAUUUCCAACCCCUUCCUCCCCCUCCAUUUUACAUUAAAAAAGAAAAAAAGCCUAGAGAGAUAAAGUGACUUCCUGUAAGCAAAACAGCUAGAGUGUGGGAGAGCUGGGGAGCUGGGUCUCUAAACAGAACCCUUGUAUUUUGUGAUCUACUACAGUUGUAUCUUCUAGAAGAAUUAGGAGAAAGAUUUAUACACACAGAUAUUUUCAUAGGAUCACAAGUCAUCUUCUGCCAUAUUUCCCAAUAUUGUCAUUUUAAGGUCUUAGAAACUUGGGUAUGAAUACCCUGAUGGUUUAGGCCAAAAGACAGCUUCCUUAGACAGGGAGUCCUGUUGUUUUCCUAUAACUUCCCUUGGCAGCUGCUGUUCCCACUCUGAAAAGCUUCCUCCCUGUUCCAUAAAGGGGAAUGACAGGCUCUUGUUCUGAAUUAGAGCUUUCUAGGGUCAGGCUCCUAGAAGUGAUAGAAAAGAUCUCUUUGUGGCAGCAUUCAACCCUGAAAGUGAAAGGAUAGAGCCAGGAGGCUGGAUGCUGUGGUGGAGGAGCAAGAGUCUGAAAUUAAGGAGAUAUGAACCAGAAAAGGAAGGAAAGGGAGGUGGCUGGCUGGCCUAAUCCUAAUAAAAAGCUCUCAUUUAGUCUGUGCUGGGGGAGAAGCCAGUUAAGUCACAUUUUUUCACUUCCUCCAUGUCGUCAAGGUGAUUUCUUUCUUGUGGGGUCAGUUAUCUAGAUCUUAAACUAAGACUUUUCUCAUCUCCACCUGAAAAAAAAAAAAAAAGUUGCAAAGACACAAAAUGUGUGAGAUGAUUCUCUGCCCUUCAGGGAAGUCUUUCUUCAAUUGCUAGGUGAAGCAUGUCCCCUGAAGAAAGGCUGCUAGGGACAGGCCUGGAAUUUUCCUUCUGCCCCCAAAGCAACCACUUCUAUUUCUGCAUCAGGCAAUUUUCUCCUCCUGCUGCCAGUCCGGUCUUGCAAAUGGAAUGUGGAGAACCUCAGGUGCAAAAAAGAUCAACCUUCUCUUUGGCUGUAGGCCUCUCAUCCACUAUCCUUUGAAGAAGAAUGGCACCCUCCACUCAGUGAGGAUCUCAUCCUUGUUCAUAUCCUUCCCAUCCCAGUGUUUCUGAACUCCUGUAGAUCACUAUCUAAACCCCAUUCCUCAUCCCUUACCAACUGAUUCCUUGUCCCCAUCUCCCUCAUUCCAAUUAUUUGGAAUGCCUGUUCAAUGGGCAACAGACGAGGCUUCAUCUUAAACCUUCUCUUCUCCCACUACUCCCAUCUACUAGCUCUUCCUGAAACCUGGCUUCCCACUGAUAACGCAGCUUUUACUAGUCCUUUUACUUAUUUUCUUCAAUCCGCUCCAUAUAGGUGGAGAAAUCUGAAUGGUCUCUCCUUCCACAAUCUUUUCCAAGUUUUCCCUUUUCUUUCAUCACUCAGUAACCACUCUUUCUUGGAGGUUCAUGCUAUUCACAUCUACCACCCAAUCAAAAUCCUGGUUGCUGUUGUCCAUAGACUCAUCCCUAACCCCUAGUCAUUUCCCUUUCUUCCUCUGUGAGUUUGAUACCUGGCUCACAAUUUUUCUCUUCUCCCCAACUCCUGCUCUUAUACUAGGGGAUUUUAAAAUACAUAUUUUCUCUUAAAUACCCUAACCACUCAUAUAUUGGAUCACUACCAUAUAGGGGAAGGGGGAAGGAAGAGGGAGAAAAAAAUUGAACACAAGGUUUUACAAGGGUGAAUGUUGAAAACUAUGUAUGUUUUGAAAAUAAAAAGCUUUAAUAAGAAAAUAGCUGCUAGUCAUGCCCUUCUCCACCCCAUCUCCCCUUCAAUUCCAGUAAGAAACACCUUCAAUUAGUUCAGAGACAAGGAGAGUAAAGAUAGCUUUACUUUUCACCAUCAGGCAUACUUCCUUUUUCCAAGGUCAUGCAGAAUGUACCAAAUGCCCUGCACUAACUAAAUCAUAUGAAACCCAGCUUUAUCUGCCGCCCCCCCCUUCUCUGCCUUUGCAAAUUGGGUGAUCUAUUAUAUCAGAGCCAGACACUUCCAACUGGGACUUGUUUUAAACACUAGUUUGGAACUCAGUUGGUCACAAAUCUGUUUUACGGGCUUUUGAAAUUGUUUCCUAUGUUCUCAUGGCCAUUCCUAACCUAUUUUCAAUCCCAGCCAAAGGGGUUGUGAUCAAUGGUGUAGCCCCAAGAUAAGCCAGUAGAGAUAAACCAAAAUUUUGAGUUGCAAAUGCCCUAAGCCUGUGUUUUUCUGUUUGUUUGCUUUUUUCUAUUUUGUUGUGGUGGUUUCUUGUGGUAACUGGUUACAAGCCUAUGUAGGUAUGCUCCUCACCUCACUCCACGCUUCCACUCUUCUCUCUAGGGAACUGGAGAACUUGUAUUUCAUAUGUUGGUCUUGGGGGCAUCCAGGGUUCAGGAAAGAAAAACAAAGAAAACUAGCAUUUACCAAGUAAUUAGGGCUAAGUACCAAUAUGAUUCAGACAGAAGCCUCACUUCCUAAAAUCAGGCCUUUUGCCACUUUACUUGGGAAAUGCAGAUGGGGCAUUCAGGCCUGCUAUUCAUUUAGCUGGGUCAAUGUGAUUGUAUUAGCCCAAGAGCUUUCCAGGAAAAGUUGUUGGUCAUCAAGUUGCUGGAAACAAGUAGAUGAAUAAUUGAUUGGCACAAAUCUCUGCUUCUUAAAUAUCACUGAUAAAAAGGGGCCAGCUAUCCUCCUGUUUCAAGAAAUCUUGGGCCUCUAGCUAGGAAGGUUACAAGAAAGAAUAGCAGUUUUUGAGAGCAGAAGAUGGAUCCUAUAGGUGUGAAGAACCAUUUGUUUGACUCUGGUGGUUAUAGCUAAACAUGGCAUGCUGUGAUCCGCCUUUUAAUGGUCUAGCAGGUCUCCUGUUACAUCCUGGCUCAGAUGUCUUCCACCCAGUCAAGCCUGCCUAAGUGAAGCUGAGUGGUGCAUUUCUGCCUCCCUCUUCAUAAAGGUUAUUGUCUCUCUCUGAAUACCCUCCCCCCACUUCUAAAUUCAUCCACAGAACCUUCUAAAGACUAACUGCUCCUCUCUGGUUAUUCUAAUCUUUGACUUAACCUUCUAGAGCGGGAUCUGUAUACUACUAUUACAUGGAAUUACUAUGUAACUCCUUCACAUGAGAUACAGAACUGGUUUACUGCCAUUAAAUCUUAUGUAUGCUUUAUGUCACUUUUUAUAUUUUAAAUUUUGGGCCAAAGGACUAUCUCUUGUUUCUUACAUUUAACUUUUUAAUCAAUAACAGCUUAAUCCACUAAUGGACAGGAUGAAGGCUUGCUUUGAGUAUGGUCCUGAGAAGUCAGUUUCAAAAUGAAACAAGUCAGCAGGAUCUCACACGUUACAUUUCAAAACAACUCUUCUCAAGAGGGGAACUUUCAUCUUGCAGGAAGAAGGAACCUGGAAUCCCUGAACAAAGCUAUCUUUCACUGAACCUCUGUCCAGUUUAAAAAGCAAUGUUAUCUACUAAGGCAUUCAAUAAAAAUGUUCUUUUUGCAUAUCCUGGUGGGUUUUGAUGGUUAAUUAAUUUGGAGGGCAGGUUCCCUGAUAAUCUUCCUAAUUAAGUGUUUCAUGUCAUGUCAGGGGCCAAAGUUGGGAAUUUUUUUGCUAGACUCAUCUAAGCAGCAUCACCUUAAGCUUUUUAACAUUUUAAGUGUUGAAAGUAUCAAGUCACCUCAGGUCUACCUUCCCUAUUCUAUUUCUACUAACUCACACUAAAUACUCAGCCUCAGAUAUUAGGCCAAGGACUCUUUACUGCUUAGUCUAAUUGCCAUACAAUGGGAUUUUCACCCCCUGGACUUAAUUAAUGUUCCUAUUUAAUGAUCAAGAAUUCUGAAAUAUCUUUAUCUGAUCCUAACCUGAUCUAUCAUUUCACCUUUCAUGUCUCAUUUUUGGUCUUUACUGAUUUCCUUUUACUUCUUGGUACUUUCCCAGAUUUGUCAACUCUGCUUUCCCACCCCAAUCUUGAAUCAAUAAUUAGUUCAGUGUUAAUCAAUCAACUGCCAAUACAUUGUCCCCUUACACUAGUGUCCACCUAUGGCAACCUGAGGCCUGGAUUUACUUUCAUCAAAUACCUCCUCAUUUUCUGUAUUUCACCAAACAACAUUGCCAGAUUUGUUACUGGGCACUCGUAGCAAGGCAAUUCUUUCUCUCCACUGAUUCACUUUCAUUAUUACAGCUAUUCCAAACCUUUUUCCCUAGUUGCUCUCUACCCUCAGUAUUUUGCCAUCUGUCCAGUUUUUAGAUAAUAGCAUUUCUUACACAAGGUAUUCAGAAACCAUUCCUACCUCACCAAAUCUAUAAUGAGGAAUUUUUAAUUCAUUCAGUUUUGGAAUUGUACCUUGGGACUUAACUGUUCUGAUUCAGUGGAUGACAAUUCUGUGGUAUCCCUAUAAACAACUCCCACUUCCCCAUUCCUCUGCCAAGGAUUUGACAAUUAACUACCCUAUGGCCAUCCUAGUGACUCCUAAGUUGCCCACUAUCACCAUUAUUAUUCAAUAUUGUAUUAGAAAUAACUAGCCUCUGCAAUAAGAGUCAAGAAAGAGAUUAAAGGAAUGAGAGUGGGCAAUGAGGAAACCAAACUAUCACUCUUUGCAGAUGAUAUGAUGGUAUACCUAAAGAACGCCAGAGAUUCUACUAAAAAGCUAUUAGAAAUAAUUCAUAACUUUAGCAAAGUAGCAGGAUACAAAAUAAAUCCCCGUCCUGGUGACUCCUCAGACUAAAAUUUGUUUUCAUGAUCAACAUACUAUAGGAAUUGUAACUCCCUUUACAAUGUAAGCUGCUUGAAUCCAGGCUUCACUUUUGUAUUUGUAUGAAUAGCACCUACAUUCUCCAAGGACUUAGCUCCACUUAGAAAAAGUUGAUUCUAGUUCCUUUCCUCUCACUCACUCCUCCAUCCCUUCUAAUCUUUUUUGGUGUUUAGGCAAUUGGGAUUAAGUGACUUGCCCAAGGUCCCACAGGUAGUACUGUCUGAAGCUGGAUUUGAACUCCUGACUCCAUGGCCAGUCUCUAUUCAGUGCACCAUCUAUCUAGCCACUGUCUCCCUCCGCUUCUAGUCCUAACCCUGAUCACAAACUAAAACUGCUUUCUGUUAUCAGUGAGCUCUUAAAUGCCAAAUUCAAAAGCUUUUCUCUCAAUUUUCAUUUCUGGUAUCUCUUCGGGUUUUGGUACUAUUAACCAGCCCCCCUCUCAGUCUUUUUCUCUGAAUUUUGACAUUACUUUCACAAUUACUUCUUUAAAGUCCUUUGCUGGCUCAUCAUCCAGUUGUCCCUGAACUAUUGUAGGCCCUCUACUUAUCUCUCUACAAUACAUUUUCAGUAUCCUCCUUAGUUCCCUUCUCUUUGUCUCUAUCUAUGUAUUUAACUCCCAUGAUAUAUUUAAAUUAUCAAUAUACACAAAGAGUCUAACCUCCCUUGAUUUCUAGGCCCAAUCAUCAAAUUACUUGCAAGGGAGAGCUUUAUAUUUCUUUAACUUUCUGUUCUUUUGAUAGUGAAUUAACUUUCUUUAGAGAGUGCAUAUAGAACAAUAUCACAACUUAUCUUUAGAACAGGAUUUCAGAAACUGAAGAAAACUUAAAAGGACAUUAAUUAGUCCAAUAUCUUUCUACAGAUAAGGAAAUGGGAGUUCUACAUUUCCUAUAGCAACUUAGAUCUAAUUUACUUAGUUUUCAGGGUCCUGUUGAGGCUGGGAGACAGGACUUAUGACAAUAGUACUAAAAAAAAAAAAAAAAUGAAAAAAGGCUGAUAAUUGUGUGUAUGUAGGUAAGAGUUGUGUAUAUUGUGAAGUAAAAUAAUGGUGAUAGAAAAUGGGGGAUCACAAAUGAAAUCGUAAAGAGUAGGGAUAUAGUCAAAGCAAGUCCUGAAUUCUAACUGCCAUUGAUAAUGGGCUUGUAUAAUCUGGGCAGCUUUCUCAAUUUCAAUUUUCCAAUCAACAAAAAUAGGUUUCCGUUCUCCCCAUUACUCCAGACCUCUCUUAAAUGAUGAAUAAAAAAGUCUGGAUGGUCCAACCAGCUUAAGACAGAAAAGGCGCAGGAUAUAUUAAGAUUGCUCAUUUUUUUUAUGAUUCUGGCUUAGAAAUCCAGGAACCCAUAGAAGCCUGUAGGGAAAAAAAAAUAAGAAGAGACAACACCAGUAUGGUUGGAUGAAAUGUUUACAUUUAUAUUGAAAUCUGCACUAAAACAGAGUGAUUUCUACCAGUCAAUGCAACUUUGCCAAAGCAGAAUCACAAACUUCCCUUGGGGAGGUCCGGUCAGCUAGCAGCGGUGUUCCCCAAGCAGGAACAUCAGGGAGAAGCCAGGAAAGCUCUUUAAAAAAAAAAUCUUCUUCCCUGGUGGCCCUACCUCAGUUCUCCCACAUGCAUCCAUACAUAUUUAAGAGCUUGAACAUGCUCCUCAUUUCCACACCUUUUCUAUUUCUUCAUCAUUGCAAUAAAUAUAAAAUUGGCAAUGCUCACACACACCACAGUACAGACAGUAUUUCAGGCUUCAGCAUACAGCUGUAAACAGCGACUAGGUUUAAAAAAAAAAAAAAAAAAAAAAAAAGGAAAGGGCUUAGGGUUUUCACAGCCAGUUAAGUUUGUUUGUUUUUUUAAAUGAAAAGACAUGAUGGAAAACAGAGACCACCUCUAAUAUUUUUGUUUGUUUCAUUGGUUUGAGGUGCUUUUGAAAAGCCAAGUUUAAAGAAAUUACCUAGUAUUGGAGUAGACCUAAGGUUGUGACCUAAGCACUGCUUAUGACUGUCAGAUGAAAAAUCCAUGUCCCAGAUAGCCCUCAGCCAGGGAGCACUUCAAUAGUCAAAGACUGAAUAAAUGACCUCAGCAGCCAAAUUAGGGGGCACACAUGAUAGCAGAAGGGAUUGAAAAUUCUGAAUGAAAACUGACAGGGAGCUAAGUAAGACCUACCUCUGCUCAACUGCCUGGAGAAUGGGUCAAUUUAUGACAAUUAGCAGCCAGCAUAUUUUACUCAAGCAAUAAAUUAGAGCUUUUUAUAAAAAGAACCACACAAGAGGGAGCAGAGUUCAGAGCGUAAGCAUCAAGUUGUAUCAUUGCAGGAAAUUAGGGCACUUCUAAAAGAACAGCAGACAAGACUUUCUGUUGAUGAAAAAUAGACUUGGCAAGAAAAAAAAUUGGACUUAGAUGUUAGCAAAGGAGCAAAAUAAAUCUCUAUUUUUGCUUAAAAGGCAGUAAGACUCCAUAUUACUGACGUGAUUUCCAGUAGCUCUGGGAUUAAUAUGAGAAGAAACAUAUUCAGAAGGAAUAGGAAAUGCAGAGAAACUAAUGCACAUGCUAUAUAGGGUAAGUUAGUUAGUUGACACUACACCAUCACCAACUGACAUCCUAAAAAGAGAUAUGGAUGGUAAGAAGUUUUCUCAAACAGAAAGUAGUAAGACACAGCCCUGGACAAUCUCUAGUUAAACUCUGAACUCCCCCAAACUAUGCCUCAGCUAAGGGAAGGCCUCUUCUGAACAAUCUUAGGACAUGAAUAAAAUCGAAGGGAAAUUUUAAUGUAGCAAACAAGCUGUGUAUGAGCAGCAUGUAUGUUUUCUGUAAGGAAACACAAGAUGCAGUGGGAAAAUGAUACAUACCAUUUAAAAAGUUCUAAAAAGCUUUGAAACCUUCAACUGAGACUCCUAAAUCACAAGAGGUUGGGGGGGAGGAGGGAGGGAGGAGAAAGAACAACAACCCAAAUCCUUUCUUUUCCUUCUGCACAAAAACCAGCCACUUGCUUUAAAAGCAAAGCACAGACCAUACAUGAAUAUUCUCCUAGUGAAAUCUUGGGUACUAGUAAUCUCAAUCUCUGCAGCAUAAAGUAAAUUAGACCUUAACUGGUUACUGCAAUAAAUAUCUAGUCCAGUUUAAAGUUAUGUGUUUUUUUUUUUUUAUAAUUCCAGUUUGUAUAUUUCCCAUAGGUAUACAAUGAAUUCUUAGCUAUAUUAUUUUCCCUUUCCCCCCCAACCCCCCCAACCCCACUUUAAAAGCCUUUCCUUCUUGCUCAGGCAAAAACUGAAAAAUAUAUCAAGCCCACUUAUGAAACAAUCUUGGGAGGAGGGGUAAUGUGUAAAUACAUUCAUAAAGGGCCCUAUGAUUUACACCAACCUAAUUCUCUUAUUAGAAUAUAAAGCAAGGAAGGAAAGAUUCUCUACAAAGCAAAGCUACACUUGCGUCUCCUUUUGUGAAGGCCAAUUUUUCCUGGAAUAAAACAUCUGUAAAAAUAACAUCAAUAAACAAAAAUAUACAACUUAAGACCUGAUAAGGCUUUAAAUAAUUUUAGGUUUUGUAGAAAGGGAAACUAAACAUUUUUUUCCCCAAAAGGGAAAAAAAUAAACAUUUUUAAGGGAAUGACAGAUCCUUUAAAAAAAUUUUUUUAAAUGAGAACUUGGAACAUAGACAGCACUGCACAGAAUCUCAAUAGCACAGAACACCACACAAAAAUGAGAUGCCAGCAAUGUUAUCAUGGGAACAGCUGUCUGGGGAUUCACACUUUUGAGCAAAAAGAGCUCUUAAACCAAAAGAACUGUUAAAAUCUUGUAUGUGACAUAUGUCAACAUGGACCAAAAAAUGGGGAGGGAGAGAGAAAAUGCAAGAGUGGGUCCAUUAGAGACAUGAUAUUCAGCAGCAUAAAAAAUAAAAUCCGUCAAAGUUUCCCAAAGAUUAGGAUGAAAACCUGUCGGUUUCAGCUAAGAUCUUAUAAAAGAAGCACGAGAGGGAAAUUAAGAGAGCAGAACACAUUCACUACUACCUGUUGCACCUCCCAUUUUUGAAUGCCAAUUACGUUCAAUUUGGUGCUACGGCUUAAAAAAUCCAGAACAUGAGUCACAUUUAAAAAAAAAAAAAAAACAAA
Molecule: long non-coding RNA, 9225 nt
Organism: Antechinus flavipes (yellow-footed antechinus)
Lineage: Eukaryota; Metazoa; Chordata; Mammalia; Dasyuromorphia; Dasyuridae
Exons: 2
Source: RefSeq, a predicted model, not a curated record